This 43-nucleotide unclassified non-coding RNA is filed under the name Staphylococcus epidermidis RP62A. RNAcentral describes it as "crRNA from Staphylococcus epidermidis RP62A (PDB 7UZW, chain G)". Lineage: Bacteria; Bacillati; Bacillota; Bacilli; Caryophanales; Staphylococcaceae. The record is from RNAcentral.
ACGAGAACACGUAUGCCGAAGUAUAUAAAUCAUCAGUACAAAG